RNAcentral lists this ribosomal RNA (424 nucleotides) under uncultured bacterium. RNAcentral's name for it is "bacterial SSU rRNA". It matches the Rfam family "Bacterial small subunit ribosomal RNA", at positions 489 to 917 of the family's 1533-position model. The record is from RNAcentral.
AGCACUGUAGGUGUCAGCCGCCGCGGUAAUACGAGGGGUGCAAGCGUUAUUCGGAAUCAUUAGGGCGUAAAGGGUGCGUAGACGGCUUACUAAGUCAACUGUUUAAUUCUCCGGCCUAACUGGAGGUCAGCGGUAGAAACUGGUAGGCUUGAGGUUGGAAGAGAGAAGUGGAAUUCUCGGAGUAGCGGUAAAAUGCGUAGAUCUCGAGAGGAACACCGAUGGCGAAAGCAGCUUCUUGGUCCAAAUCUGACGUUGAGGCACGAAAGCGUGGGGAGCAAACAGGAUUAGAUACCCUGGUAGUCCACGCUGUAAACGAUGAUCACUAGACGUUGACUCUGCUUGCAGGGCCAGUGUCGCAGCUAACGCGAUAAGUGAUCCGCCUGGGGAUACGGUCGCAAGACUAAAACUCAAAUGAAUUGACGGG